RNAcentral lists this unclassified non-coding RNA (358 nucleotides) under Hevea brasiliensis (rubber tree). The record is from RNAcentral. Lineage: Eukaryota; Viridiplantae; Streptophyta; Magnoliopsida; Malpighiales; Euphorbiaceae.
GGUUUUGCAAGUACCCAACAAAUGGAUCCAUUUUCAUCACCUUCAACCGGUUCUUCUUCCCAAUUUUCUGCCAAUGAAUUCAGGGAUCAGCUCAAGACUCAGCUUGCUCAGGCCUACGCCGAGGAGUUUCUUGAGACCUUAAGAGUGAAGUGCUUUGACAAGUGCAUCACCAAGCCAGGGUCAAGCCUAAGUGGAAGUGAGGGCAGUUGCAUCUCUAGGUGCAUGGAGCGCUAUAUUGAGGCCACCAGCAUCGUCAGUAGAGCCCUCUUUAAGACACCACACUGAAUUCACAGGUUUUCCUGAGACAUUAUGCCGCCGAGGUAUCUUCAGCAACCUACAUUUUGUUCGAUAUUUAUUU